AGUGAACGUUGGCGGCGUGCCUAACACAUGCAAGUCGAGCGCGUUUCGGGGGCAACCCCGGGAUGAGCGGCGAACGGGUGAGUAACACGUGGGUAAUCUCCCCCCGAGUGAGGAAUAAGCCCCCGAAAGGGGGUCUAAUACUGCAUAAUACCCAGGGGCAUAAGCUUCCUGGGUCAAAGCCGUAAGGCGCUUGGGGAUGAGCCUGCGUCCUAUUAGCUAGUUGGUAGGGUAACGGCCUACCAAGGUUAUGAUGGGUAGCCGGCCUGAGAGGGUGUUCGGCCACACUGGGACUGAGACACGGCCCAGACUCCUACGGGUGGCUG
This 323-nucleotide ribosomal RNA is filed under the name uncultured Nitrospirota bacterium. RNAcentral describes it as "bacterial SSU rRNA". It matches the Rfam family "Bacterial small subunit ribosomal RNA", at positions 29 to 351 of the family's 1533-position model. Lineage: Bacteria; Pseudomonadati; Nitrospirota. The record is from RNAcentral.